Molecule: unclassified non-coding RNA, 205 nt
Filed under: uncultured Ascomycota
Lineage: Eukaryota; Fungi; Ascomycota
Description: sequence contains ITS1
Source: RNAcentral
CCGAGUUUACAACUCCCAAACCCAAUGUGAACGCUACCAAACUGUUGCCUCGGCGGGAUCUCUGCCCCGGGCGCGUCGCAGCCCCGGACCAAGGCGCCCGCCGGAGGACCAAACCAAAACUCUUAUUGUAUACCCCCUCGCGGGUUUUUCUUUAAUAAUCUGAGCCUUCUCAGCGCCCCCUCGUGGGCGUUUCGAAAAUGAAUCA